GACGAACGCUGGCGGCGUGCUUAACACAUGCAAGUCGAACGAAGAGCGAUGGAAGCUUGCUUCUAUCAAUCUUAGUGGCGAACGGGUGAGUAACGCGUAAUCAACCUGCCCUUCAGAGGGGGACAACAGUUGGAAACGACUGCUAAUACCGCAUACGAUCUGACCUCGGCAUCGAGGAUGGAUGAAAGGUGGCCUCUAUUUAUAAGCUAUCACUGAAGGAGGGGAUUGCGUCUGAUUAGCUAGCUGGAGGGGUAACGGCCCACCAAGGCGAUGAUCAGUAGCCGGUCUGAGAGGAUGAACGGCCACAUUGGGACUGAGACACGGCCCAGACUCCUACGGGAGGCAGCAGUGGGGAAUCUUCCGCAAUGGACGAAAGUCUGACGGAGCAACGCCGCGUGAGUGAUGACGGCCUUCGGGUUGUAAAGCUCUGUUAAUCGGGACGAAAGGCCUUCUUGCGAAUAGUUAGAAGGAU
RNAcentral lists this ribosomal RNA (472 nucleotides) under Veillonella dispar. RNAcentral describes it as "bacterial SSU rRNA". It matches the Rfam family "Bacterial small subunit ribosomal RNA", at positions 28 to 477 of the family's 1533-position model. Lineage: Bacteria; Bacillati; Bacillota; Negativicutes; Veillonellales; Veillonellaceae. The record is from RNAcentral.